This 198-nucleotide non-coding RNA is filed under the name Roseivivax halodurans. The record is from RNAcentral. RNAcentral also lists the same sequence under 1 other name. Lineage: Bacteria; Pseudomonadati; Pseudomonadota; Alphaproteobacteria; Rhodobacterales; Roseobacteraceae.
CUAGGCAGGCGGUGCCUCGGUCCGGAUAUGUCCGGUGAAUAGGGAACGCGGUGACCUUCGGGAAAUCCGCGACUGCCCCCGCAACUGUGAGCGGCGAGCGCGAUCGGAACAUGCCACUGGGAUCCCAUGGUCCCGGGAAGGCCCGACCCGCGCAACGACCCGCAAAGUCAGGAGACCUGCCAAGGCGAUCACCCUACC